GGAGGACUCCUCCUCCCAAUACCACUUUGGGAGUCUGCUGCCGCAUUGAUUGUGUGGGUGCACAAAUGAUGAAGCCUGGAGGAGGAGGAGGUGCCAAUAAUGUGGAGAAAGGCAGAUAAUGAAACCGGAUUAGACACCCGUGAAUACAUGAAGCCACGGAUAUAGAGUCCACAUAUAACAAGAUGAUGAACAUGAUCCUCUAAGAUCAGUAUGCUAUUUGUAUUCAGGCCUUCCACUGAGCUCUGCCUCCUCAAGCCCGCCUUGCCUGCCAAGAAUAGAUUCAUCUACAUUCUGUCUGUGUUGCCUUGUGUUGAUUUUAAAAUGUUAAGGCAAUAGCAUUGCAUUUAUUGUCAACUUGGGACUAUAUCUUAAGUUUCAACCUCUAACGUUUUGAUAUUUCUCUCAAACCAAAAUGCUAUGCAUGUCUCUGUGGGGUUGGUAGGGAAUUUGUAUAUCUUUAAAGCAAAACAUUAUUGAUAUUUGUGUUUGGCUACUAUUAAGAUUUAUUAAUCCUUGUGAUCUAAUAAUGUCUUAGAUGUGACUCAAUCAAUACCAUUUGUGCCAAUAAAUCUUAAUAUUUGAAAC
Long non-coding RNA from Hemicordylus capensis (graceful crag lizard), 585 nucleotides. RefSeq lists it as uncharacterized. The record is from RefSeq and is a predicted model, not a curated record. The transcript is spliced from 3 exons. Lineage: Eukaryota; Metazoa; Chordata; Lepidosauria; Squamata; Cordylidae.